GUCACCAAGUUGUCUUCGCACUGCUUGUCACAAGUUGUCAACAAGUUUGGAACAACCUGUUAACAAUUUGUAACAACCUUGUUGAUAUUAUCAAGCUUGUUAUAAGGUUGUUCCAACAAGUCCGAUACAGUCAUGAUAUAGCAGUAUUGUUACAACCUUGUGUCGUCAACCUUGUAACAUUCUUGUUUAUCAUGACUGUAGAACAACCUUGUAACAAGUCUGAUAAUGCUAUCAAGCUUGUUACAAGUUGUGAACAGCUUGUUCCAAACUUGUUACAACAACUGGGAACAAGCAGUGCGAAGACAACUUGUUGACAGCUUGUGAACUGAUUUGUAACAACUUGUUUGCAGACUUGUAACAACUUAUGCAUUUUCACGUGUCUAG
This is a non-coding RNA of Paramuricea clavata, 384 nucleotides long. NCBI's taxonomy places the organism in Eukaryota, Metazoa, Cnidaria, Anthozoa, Malacalcyonacea, Plexauridae. The record is from the annotation of a GenBank genome assembly.